This 1153-nucleotide ribosomal RNA is filed under the name 'Achillea sp.' phytoplasma. RNAcentral's name for it is "bacterial SSU rRNA". It matches the Rfam family "Bacterial small subunit ribosomal RNA", at positions 184 to 1350 of the family's 1533-position model. Lineage: Bacteria; Bacillati; Mycoplasmatota; Mollicutes; Acholeplasmatales; Acholeplasmataceae. The record is from RNAcentral.
UUUAUUUUUAAAAGACCUAGCAAUAGGUAUGCUUAGGGAAGAGCUUGCGUCACAUUAGUUAGUUGGUGGGGUAAUGGCCUACCAAGACGAUGAUGUGUAGCCGGGCUGAGAGGUCGAACGGCCACAUUGGGACUGAGACACGGCCCAAACUCCUACGGGAGGCAGCAGUAAGGAAUUUUCGGCAAUGGAGGAAACUCUGACCGAGCAAUGCCGCGUGAACGAUGAAGUAUUUCGGUACGUAAAGUUCUUUUAUUAGGGAAGAAAAGAUGGUGGAAAAACCAUUAUGACGGUACCUAAUGAAUAAGCCCCGGCUAACUAUGUGCCAGCAGCCGCGGUAAUACAUAGGGGGCAAGCGUUAUCCGGAAUUAUUGGGCGUAAAGGGUGCGUAGGCGGUUAAAUAAGUUUAUGGUCUAAGUGCAACGCUCAACGUUGUGAUGCUAUAAAAACUGUUUAGCUAGAGUUGGAUAGAGGCAAGUGGAAUUCCGUGUGUAGUGGUAAAAUGCGUAAAUAUACGGAGGAACACCAGAAGCGAAGGCGGCUUGCUGGGUCUUAACUGACGCUGAGGCACGAAAGCGUGGGGAGCAAACAGGAUUAGAUACCCUGGUAGUCCACGCCCUAAACGAUGAGUACUAAACGUUGGAUAAAACCAGUGUUGAAGUUAACACAUUAAGUACUCCGCCUGAGUAGUACGUACGCAAGUAUGAAACUUAAAGGAAUUGACGGGACUCCGCACAAGCGGUGGAUCAUGUUGUUUAAUUCGAAAGUACCCGAAAAACCUCACCASGUCUUGACAUGCUUUUGCAAAGCUGUAGAAAUACAGUGGAGGUUAUCAGAAGCACAGGUGGUGCAUGGUUGUCGUCAGCUCGUGUCGUGAGAUGUUGGGUUAAGUCCCGCAACGAGCGCAACCCUUGUUGUUAAUUGCCAUCAUUAAGUUGGGGACUUUAGCAAGACUGCCAAUGAUAAAUUGGAGGAAGGUGGGGACGACGUCAAAUCAUCAUGCCCCUUAUGACCUGGGCUACAAACGUGAUACAAUGGCUGUUACAAAGGGUAGCUAAAGCGUAAGCUUCUGGCGAAUCUCAAAAAAGCAGUCUCAGUUCGGAUUGAAGUCUGCAACUCGACUUCAUGAAGUUGGAAUCGCUAGUAAUCGCGAAUC